RNAcentral lists this ribosomal RNA (254 nucleotides) under uncultured bacterium. RNAcentral describes it as "partial 16S ribosomal RNA". It matches the Rfam family "Bacterial small subunit ribosomal RNA", at positions 524 to 776 of the family's 1533-position model. The record is from RNAcentral.
UACGUAGGGGGCGAGCGUUGUCCGGAUUUACUGGGCGUAAAACGCUUGUAGGUGGCCACGCCAAGUCGGAUGUGAAAUCUCCCGGCUUAACUGGGAGCGGUCAUUCGAUACUGGCGGGCUCGAGGCAGGUAGGGGGAAGCGGAAUUCCCGGUGUAGUGGUGGAAUGCGUAGAUAUCGGAAGGAACGCCGGUGGCGAAAGCGAUCGACUGGACCUUUUCUGACGCUGAGGCGCGAAAGCCAGGGGAGCAAACGGG